Molecule: ribosomal RNA, 475 nt
Filed under: uncultured organism
Description: partial 16S ribosomal RNA
Rfam family: Bacterial small subunit ribosomal RNA
Source: RNAcentral
CACUCCUGCGGGAGGCAGCAGUGGGGAAUUUUGGACAAUGGGGGCAACCCUGAUCCAGCAAUGCCGCGUGAGUGAAGAAGGCCUUCGGGUUGUAAAGCUCUUUUGUCAGGGAAGAAACGGUAGUAGCGAAUAACUAUUACUAAUGACGGUACCUGAAGAAUAAGCACCGGCUAACUACGUGCCAGCAGCCGCGGUAAUACGUAGGGUGCAAGCGUUAAUCGGAAUUACUGGGCGUAAAGCGUGCGCAGGCGGUUGUGUAAGUCAGAUGUGAAAUCCCCGGGCUCAACCUGGGAAUUGCAUUUGAGACUGCACGGCUAGAGUGUGUCAGAGGGGGGUAGAAUUCCACGUGUAGCAGUGAAAUGCGUAGAUAUGUGGAGGAAUACCGAUGGCGAAGGCAGCCCCCUGGGAUAACACUGACGCUCAUGCACGAAAGCGUGGGGAGCAAACAGGAUUAGAAACCCUUGUAGUCCCAUGA